Molecule: long non-coding RNA, 1606 nt
Organism: Chiroxiphia lanceolata (lance-tailed manakin)
Lineage: Eukaryota; Metazoa; Chordata; Aves; Passeriformes; Pipridae
Exons: 2
Source: RefSeq, a predicted model, not a curated record
CCCAGCAGUUUCCUGCCGUGGUGCAAAGCUCGGGGAGCGUUUUUGUUGCUGUAUGGAUUUUCUGUUUGGCUGCACAAGGCUCUGCAGGUUGGCUGCCGUGGUUGGAAGGCUCAGCCAGGUUUGGCAUGUCCCUGGACCCGCUGUCCCGGGCUGAGGAGCCCAGGCUGACACUGGGGAUGGCAGCACAGCCCCAUCCUGCUGCUGAGCACCCACCGGAGCACCCCCAGGGCCCCCCGGCUGCAGGCAGAGGGACAUCCUGGGUUCUUGGCUCUGUGGCCCUCCAGCUCAGCACUGCCCAGCAGGGACCACCACAGACCACUGGCCCAGCAGGGACCACCACCCCAGCAUGUCCCAGUGUCCCCAGCAUGGACCUGAGCCCUGCCGUGGACCACCACCCUCAGCAUGGACCAGCAUGGACCAACACGAACCACAGCCCCAGCAUGUCCCAGUAUCCCCAGCAUGGGUCAUCACUGCCCCCAGUGUGGACCACCAUGGCCCACCACCCCACACCCGGCCCGCUGCCCCAGCACAGCCCCUCGGCCUCCAGGACAGCAGCAGGACAUGGGACAGGUUUGGGCAGGUGGCCCUGAGCCCAAAUAACACCCUGAGGCCACGCCUAGACCUGGCUGCACACUCCCCAUGGGGGCCCAGCCCCUCCUGCCCCGGGGCGUCACCACACCCCAACUGACCAGCGGGGACACUGAGGGGGUGACAGAGGUUUGUCUGAGCUGAGCAGGGACUCGGAGCUGAUCCUGGAGGGAAUCAACCAUGUGAGGGGCAUCUGCAAAUCCUGGGAAUUGCUGUCCCUGCCUUGGAGUCUCCACCUUCAGCAGGUUUUGGGAUGACAGCAAGGACCAAGCCCUCUGAGGAGAAAUCCCAUGGAGUGGAGCCAGACAGCCCAGCCCAGAGGGAAGGGAUGAUCCAGGAGGAGGCUCGUGGCUUGUGCAAGGAGAGGUGAGAAGCUCCAGGGCAGUGCCAGGAGAGCUGGAUGAUGCAGAGGGAGGUGCACAAGGAGGAGCCAGUCCCCCAGGGAAGGAUGAGGGAAAGGUGGCAAAGGUCAUAUUUCACAGUAGUCUUGGGUGGGGAAAAAAACCACUUUAUUUUCCAAAUUUGGCACGUGCUGCUGCCUCCUCCCUGCCCAUGGUGUCCCAGCGGAGUCCAGGAGUGGAGGGUGUCAGCAGAGCAACCCACCACUGAUGCCCCAGCAGCUGCUGACCCCAGGAAACCUGAAUAAUCCAUAGAAACCUUCUAAAAAGCAGGAAACCCCAGGAGAUGAGCUGCCUUCCCUCUGGCAGAAACGUGGCCCAGGCACAAGGUGCUUUACAGGUUCUGGGGAAGGGCUGUGCUGAGACCCCUCACACCCUGCCAGCUCCCUCCUCCCCCAGAGCAAGCUCAUCUUUCUCCACCCACCCCAAAAAAGGCAUUUUUAUUUUUAUUAUAUAGAUAAAUCUAUUUUCCAGAAUUUCAGCUGUCAUUAGAAAGGACUUGAGAAAGACACAGACACACGGAGACACAGGGGGUGUUUCCCUCCCUUUUAAUUCUCACCCCGUGCUCCCUCGAGUCACUGACUGGCAGAAAUAAAAUAAAAUGAAAUAAAUAAUAAAAU